UAAGUUGAGGGUGUCUAUAAUAGGGGUACGUAGUUAGAAGUUGGUACAAAGAAGCGUUAAAUAAUAGAACAAAAAGUAGGGUUAGGUGUGUUAGAAAAGGAAUAAAACAAAUUUCACCCAACUUGAAUAAGCAAUAAAGGGUAAAUAAGGGAGAAAUAAAAGAGGAAAAAUUGGUUAAGAAGUGGACCUCAAAUAUAAUCAUAGUGUAAAGGAGGG
RNAcentral lists this long non-coding RNA (216 nucleotides) under Capsicum annuum. RNAcentral describes it as "long non-coding RNA (CANN_LNC011708)". The record is from RNAcentral. Lineage: Eukaryota; Viridiplantae; Streptophyta; Magnoliopsida; Solanales; Solanaceae.